UGGGGAAUAUUGGACAAUGGGCGCAAGCCUGAUCCAGCAAUACCGCGUGUGUGAAGAAGGCCUGAGGGUUGUAAAGCACUUUCAAUUGGGAGGAAAACCUGCCGGUCAAUACCCGGCAGCUUGACAUUACCUUUAGAAGAAGCACCGGCUAACUCCGUGCCAGCAGCCGCGGUAAUACGGAGGGUGCGAGCGUUAAUCGGAAUUACUGGGCGUAAAGCGUGCGUAGGCGGUUAUUUAAGUCAGAUGUGAAAGCCCCGGGCUUAACCUGGGAACUGCAUUUGAUACUGGGUAACUAGAGUUUAGUAGAGGAGAGUGGAAUUUCAGGUGUAGCGGUGAAAUGCGUAGAGAUCUGAAGGAACACCAGUGGCGAAGGCGACUCUCUGGACUAAAACUGACGCUGAGGUACGAAAGCGUGGGUAGCAAACAGG
This 428-nucleotide ribosomal RNA is filed under the name uncultured Methylobacter sp. RNAcentral's name for it is "bacterial SSU rRNA". It matches the Rfam family "Bacterial small subunit ribosomal RNA", at positions 355 to 776 of the family's 1533-position model. The record is from RNAcentral. Lineage: Bacteria; Pseudomonadati; Pseudomonadota; Gammaproteobacteria; Methylococcales; Methylococcaceae.